RNAcentral lists this ribosomal RNA (523 nucleotides) under uncultured bacterium. Its description in RNAcentral is "bacterial SSU rRNA". It matches the Rfam family "Bacterial small subunit ribosomal RNA", at positions 23 to 518 of the family's 1533-position model. The record is from RNAcentral.
CUUAGGACGAACGCUGGCGGCGUGCCUAAUACAUGCAAGUCGAACGGUCUUUCUAUGGAAGCUUGCUUCCACUGAGAAGAUAGUGGCGAACGGGUGAGUAACACGUGGGUAACCUGCCCAUAAGAGGGGGAGUAACAUCCGGAAACGGGUGCUAAUACCGCAUAGUUUUCUUGAUCGCAUGAUUGAGAAAGGAAAGACGGCCUUUGUGCUGUCGCUUAUGGAUGGACCCGCGGCGUAUUAGUUAGUUGGUGAGGUAAUGGCUCACCAAGACGAUGAUACAUAGCCGACCUGAGAGGGUGAUCGGCCACAUUGGGACUGAGACACGGCCCAAACUCCUACGGGAGGCAGCAGUAGGGAAUCUUCCGCAAUGGACGAAAGUCUGACGGAGCAACGCCGCGUGAGUGAAGAAAGGUUUUCGGAUCGUAAAACUCUGUUGUCAGAGAAGAACAAGUUGGAGAGUAACUGCUCCAGCCUUGACGGUAUCUGACCAGAAAGCCACGGCUAACUACGUGCCAGCCGCGGC